Non-coding RNA from Chrysemys picta bellii (western painted turtle), 1896 nucleotides. The record is from RefSeq and is a predicted model, not a curated record. Lineage: Eukaryota; Metazoa; Chordata; Testudines; Emydidae.
UCUUGAUUAUCACUACAAAAGAUUUUUCUCUUACUUAAUUAGCCUCUUAGAGUUGGUAGGACAACUCCCACCUUUUCAUGCUCUCUCUAUGCGUAUCUAUGUCUCAUUAUCUCACUGGGGGCCAUCAGCAGUUGAAGCAGGAUACAGAAUUACAGCUACGGUGUUAAAACAACACUACACCACCUUUCUCCGCUUGCAGUGGCCUAGCUAGUACACACGUCACGGAGCUUUAAUAGCCCAGCCACCAGGAAGGCAGGUGCCGUCUCGAACAGGAAAUCAAUAAACAAGGGCUUGGUAAUACAGCUCUGUCUGCUUUCAUUUGCAGCUGUUCUUACCUCACCACCGACGACACCAGAAAAGAACCUGACCGUUGCCAUCUUCCCAUGGACUGUUCCUGCCGGUAUACCAAACCUCGUCCUCUACAUCCUGAUCCCAUCCGUCCUGCUGGUUCUACUUUUGAUUUUGUUCAUUGCUGUAAAGUUUAGAAGAGCAUCACAGAGGAGGAGCGAAGAAUCCUGGGCACAACCUUCCCUUCAGUGCAUCAGAUCCUGCUGUCACUGGCCAAAUGGCAAACUAUAUGAAUGAGGAGCACCUGCCCAGCUCAGCCGAUCCAGCGUCUGACUAUGAAAGGAUGAUCCCGCAGAUGAGUCAGGUUUCAGGACAGAGAAAAGCAGUUUCUUCUGGCCCACAGGACUUCUCAGCCACAGAUCUGCAGGACACCUACGUCACUAUGUGCGCAAUCACACCCCAUUCCCCCAUGAUCUGUCAUCAAGCAAAGUGUGGGAGAAAAGCUGCAGGCUGAAGCCAUUCCUACUCACGGGAUAUUUAGCAGUUCGUCCUUAUUUUCCUACUGUCCCAUGAAAGCUUCCAGACUGGCAUUCCCUGUGCCCUGCUUCUGCUGAGCAAUCUGCCAGCAGCAAGAUGUGGUAGGAAGGUCCCACUUUCAGCACGAUUUUGUCUUCAGAAAUGUACUGGGGGCCAACAGCUACUACAAAGUGCUUCUCCUUUCCUGGACAUCAGCUUGAAACAGCACAAAGUCUUGGUGGCUCCGGUUCCUCAAGGGCUGGAGGUAUUCCUCUGGUGCUCGUUGUGGCAUCUCUCUGCUCCAGCGCCACAUAAUUGCUCAUAAAACUCACAUGGUGCAAAGGACCUUGGUUCUGGGGGUCAGAACCUCAGGAUGAUGAGACAACUCUUUGGCCGGAGGUGAUGUGGGCAACAGGGCCUCAGGAAGGCUGAGGAACAGAUGCUUGGGGAGAUGAGGGUGUGGAAAUAACAAUGGGAAGACGAGGCAGAAGGAAACAGCUUUGUCCUUCAUUCCCCCAGUCAGCGUGGAGGUAAUUGUGAUGGAAUCUUUUUACCCCCAAUCCCAUGUUAGCACAAUGGCUUAGAACAAGAAGGGCACAUGGAAUCCCCCAUUUUAUAUAGGUGAAGUGAAAAGAUUGAGAGCCCAUUCCCAGACAUUCUUUUUGGACGUCUUCGUCUUUGAUCCUAAAUACCCUGUGGGACACAUCUAAAGAAUUUGGACACAAGACCAAUAUCAUUCUGGAGUGCAGGAACAGGAGUGUUGUAUGAAAGACACGAGAGAUAAUGGUCCCACUCUACCUAGCACUGGUUAGCUCCGAGCCGGACGUUGUGUCCAGUUCUGGGGGCCACACUUUAGGAAAGAGGUGAACAAGCUAGAGAGAGUCCAAAGAGCUACAACAAUGAUAAAAGUUUUAGAAAAAUCUCACCUCUGAGGAAAGGUUAAAACCACUAGGUGUGGUUAGUCGCGAGAAAAAAAAAGCAGAUGGGGAACCAAACUUCAAAUAUGUUAAGGGCUGUUAUAAAAAGGACAGAAAUCAAUUGUUCUCCGUGUCCACUGAAAGCAGGACAAGAAGCAAAUGGGCUUAAUCUGGA